GGGGUGGUGGCUCAGUGGUAGAGUGCUGGCCUCAUAUGUGUGAGGCACUGAGUUCGAUUCUCACCACCACA
Molecule: transfer RNA, 71 nt
Filed under: Marmota monax (woodchuck)
Lineage: Eukaryota; Metazoa; Chordata; Mammalia; Rodentia; Sciuridae
Rfam family: tRNA
About the family: Transfer RNA (tRNA) molecules are approximately 80 nucleotides in length.
Source: Rfam by way of RNAcentral